This 377-nucleotide long non-coding RNA is filed under the name Lathyrus oleraceus (garden pea). Its description in RNAcentral is "Pisum sativum (pea) long non-coding RNA (PSAT_LNC028136)". The record is from RNAcentral. Lineage: Eukaryota; Viridiplantae; Streptophyta; Magnoliopsida; Fabales; Fabaceae.
UUCAUUCGACUCCGAACGGUUGUUUUUGGGACCACAAAUGAUAAUCCUCUCAUAAGAUGCCAUGUGACAGCUCAUGAGAGGAGAGAGGAAAAGUCGUUUGAAAAAGAGGAUGAGGUCUAGUUUUUGAGGGGCCACGAAAAAGUUCCUUCUUCUCAAAAAAGGCUCCCUUGGCCAAAAUCCCCAGACGAUUUUCCUGUCUUCUGCCUCAAUAAUCUCUCACUCUAAAAAAAAGAAAAUAAAGAAAAGAAAAAAAGGAGGAGAAUCCAUCAUCUUCAUCUUCCCACUUCAACUCCACGACGCCCUUUCAUAGCCUCCGCGCAACAUUGUUCCUCUUCGUCGCCUCCACGAACCUCCACCGGCGAAGUCGCAACUUCCAU